Molecule: ribosomal RNA, 307 nt
Filed under: uncultured bacterium
Lineage: Bacteria
Description: bacterial SSU rRNA
Rfam family: Bacterial small subunit ribosomal RNA
Source: RNAcentral
CCGGCUAACUACCGUGCCAGCAGCCGCGGUAAUACGGAGGGUGCGAGCGUUAAUCGGAAUUACUGGGCGUAAAGACGCAUGCAGGCGGCCUGUUAAGUCAGAUGUGAAAGCCCGGGGCUUAACCUCGGAAUUGCAUUUGAAACUGGCAGGCUAGAGUCUUGUAGAGGGGGGUAGGAAGUUUCAGGUGUAGCGGUGAAAUAGCGUAGAGAUCUGAAGGAAUACCAGUGGCGAAGGCGGCCCCCUCGGACAAAGACUGACGCUCAGAUGCGAAAGCGUGGGGAGCAAACAGGAUUAGAUACCCUGGUAG